UUUAGACAGAGGAGUCAGCUGCUGCCCAAGGAUUCACAUGCUGCAGCUUAUAUUUCCCUUGCAGGAAAACCACUUAAGGAUGGCAAAUUACAGCAGGGCCAAAGAAGGGGAACAAAUGCAGAGUCACUGCGGUAACGUGUAGUAACUUCGAGUGAAGCUUCUGACAUAGAUUGCUUUUUAAGAGCAUCAGCAAGCUCCUGCUGCAGC
Cyanistes caeruleus (blue tit) is the source of this 207-nucleotide non-coding RNA. The record is from RefSeq and is a predicted model, not a curated record. NCBI's taxonomy places the organism in Eukaryota, Metazoa, Chordata, Aves, Passeriformes, Paridae.